Molecule: non-coding RNA, 97 nt
Filed under: Janthinobacterium sp.
Lineage: Bacteria; Pseudomonadati; Pseudomonadota; Betaproteobacteria; Burkholderiales; Oxalobacteraceae
Description: TPP sequence
Rfam family: TPP riboswitch aptamer (THI element)
About the family: Vitamin B(1) in its active form thiamin pyrophosphate (TPP) is an essential coenzyme that is synthesised by coupling of pyrimidine and thiazole moieties in bacteria.
Source: RNAcentral
ACACUUGGCUCGGGGUCCUGCGCAUGCGCGUGGGUGAGAGAUACCCGUUGAACCUGAUUGAGGUAAUCCUCGCGCAGGAAAGCAUGUAAUCCAUCGC